This is a long non-coding RNA of Phyllostomus discolor (pale spear-nosed bat), 2055 nucleotides long. RefSeq lists it as uncharacterized. The transcript is spliced from 2 exons. Lineage: Eukaryota; Metazoa; Chordata; Mammalia; Chiroptera; Phyllostomidae. The record is from RefSeq and is a predicted model, not a curated record.
AUUUAGCUAGUAACCUAAGCUGACUGUAGCAAUUCUGUUUCCCAGUAAUCCUAUUGUCUAUGUUUAACCAAUUAAAACAAGAUAAAGUCAGCUGGUGGGAGGUUAAUUUCUGGGGACACUUUUGCUUUCUUGAUAUAAAGUCCAGCUGAGGCCAGGGCUGACCCUUUCCCCAUUUUUCCUUCCCCCAGUGCAAAUAAUAGCAGCCAUUUUGUAACUCCGAGAGAAAAGUCAAAAAAAUUACACAGAUGUCAACCUUUAUACUACUCAACUAUUGAAUGAAUACCAGAAAACACCUAUCAUCUAUGUAAAAUAAAUAAAUAAAUAAAUUUCUAUUUGUUUACAUCACUGUUAGGUAAUUUUAACUUAAAACUAACUCAUGUCAAAAACGAGGACUAACAAUCAGAUAACAUUUUUCUGUUGCAACUUGAGUAACUUUAUCUCAAUGUAAAAACACUUUAAUUUCUAUCAAAACAUUUGGUGCUCAAAAUAUUACUGUUUUAUUUAGGAUAUGUGUUACUAUUUCCAUUUUCUAACAAGGUACAGGGAAACUUACUUUCUCAAGACACAACUCAAGAUAAAGAUGGAACAAACGUCCAAUUCACUUCCAUUAACACUAUUCUGCAAUCCUACCUAGUAAUCUCUAAAAAUACCAUUUUUCUCUCAUUGGCUUUACCACCCCUACACUGGUUUUAGUUCUUUCUUUUCUUUAAGAACAAAUGUUUUUUAUCUUACCAUUUAAAGCUACUACAAACUAAUCUUUUUUGAAAGGAAUAUUAUCAUUAAAGAACAAAAUAAGUUAAUUCUGUUCUUUAUCAGAGAAAUAUAAUUCUAAUUAAGAUUUUCCACUUAUGCCUGAUAAUUAGUUACCAAAUUACUUCAUCUAAAAAAGUUUAUUAUAGAACAACCUGAAUCAGGGUGGAGAAUGGGAAUCUUAUAACCAUAUUGCCUCUGUGUGAUAUACAUAGAUUAAAUAUUUUGUAAAUACCAGAGAUCACAUACCUGGGGAGUAAGGUAGCAAAUAUGAAUGUUAUUUAUUUAACUCAUCUUCCAAACAAAAGCUGCUAAAAGGACAACAGAUGCUAAAAUAAAGGUGUUUUAUUAAAUAACAUGUUUCAUUUAAAAUGUGGCUUUUUACAAGAGGGCUUUGUAUUCUGAGCAUAGCAAUAAGAAGGGUAUCAUACCUAAGACAAAAUACAAAGAAGCUACAGAAUUCAUUAUUAUGUUUACGGUUUAAAGUGAAAACAUCAAAAAAUUUAUGCUGUUGAUCAUCUUUUUUCUUGUUAGUAGAUAUUAAUCCAUAUCACUAUGAACAAAACAUGAAUGAAUAAUCUGUAAAGUCAUAAAUUUAACAUAAUAAAGAUGUCCAGUAAGUUCUAUCUGAAACCCUUUUGCAAAAUAGUACUUCCGCAAAUAGUACUUGGUUUUUAGUUUAAAAUAUUGUCCUGAUUAAAUCAUACAGGAAAAAAGCGCACAUGCAAAUAUAGUCCAUCUGAUCCUAAGAGUUAUCACAACUUCCUGUUUGAAAGUUCCAAGCUAUGAACACACCAGAGUAAAAUUAUAAUAUGGGUCAUAAAAAAACCCGAGUACUUAAUGAAGAAAUUAUAGUAUUCAGCACACGUAAGUGCCAUUUAUAUUUCUGAAGUCUUUUAACAACGAGUUUAACAUUAUUUACAUUUAUUCCUUAUUGUACUUGAAAGGAGACACGAGUUUUAAACCACCAUUAAGUCUUAAGUAUCUAAUUACCCUGUGCCUUAGGCAAUAGGUCAGGUACUUUAUUUUAUACUUUAUCUCAUUUAAUCCUCACAAGACCUGCCACUAUAUAUCAUAACACCUAUGUUAUGAAUAAGAGAGUAAGUUCAGAGAGGCUGAGAUUUUACAAAUACUUGAAAAUAUUUCUAUUACAGUCAAGUUCAAAAUUUAUUUGGGAUAUUUGUUCUUGCCUACUUAGUUAAAAAUUAUGCUGUGAUACUGGGCCUAACUGAUCAAAAAGGUACAUGAGUUGAAAGAGCAGUUGUAAGAAAAAAAAUGCUUUUUGACAUACAGAAAUGAAUUAUU